This 572-nucleotide ribosomal RNA is filed under the name Lactobacillus apis. Its description in RNAcentral is "bacterial SSU rRNA". It matches the Rfam family "Bacterial small subunit ribosomal RNA", at positions 317 to 883 of the family's 1533-position model. Lineage: Bacteria; Bacillati; Bacillota; Bacilli; Lactobacillales; Lactobacillaceae. The record is from RNAcentral.
GGUUGCAGCACGGGGGUCCCUUCGGGGGGGGCGCAGUAGGGAAUCUUCCACAAUGGACGCAAGUCUGAUGGAGCAACGCCGCGUGAGUGAAGAAGGUUUUCGGAUCGUAAAGCUCUGUUGUUGGUGAAGAAGGACAUGGGUAGUAACUGAUCUCUGUUUGACGGUAAUCAACCAGAAAGUCACGGCUAACUACGUGCCAGCAGCCGCGGUAAUACGUAGGUGGCAAGCGUUGUCCGGAUUUAUUGGGCGUAAAGCGAACGCAGGCGGGAGAACAAGUCAGCUGUGAAAGCCCUCGGCUUAACCGAGGAACGGCAACUGAAACUGUUUUUCUUGAGUGCAGAAGAGGAGAGUGGAACUCCAUGUGUAGCGGUGAAAUGCGUAGAUAUAUGGAAGAACACCAGUGGCGAAGGCGGCUCUCUGGUCUGUAACUGACGCUGAGGUUCGAAAGCAUGGGUAGCGAACAGGAUUAGAUACCCUGGUAGUCCAUGCCGUAAACGAUGAGUGCUAAGUGUUGGGAGGUUUCCGCCUCUCAGUGCUGCAGCUAACGCAUAAGCACUCCGCAUGGGAGGUCG